ACGCUCGACACCUACGGGAGACAGCAGUGGGGAAUAUUGCACAAUGGGGGAAACCCUGAUGCAGCGACGCCGCGUGGAGGAAGAAGGUCUUCGGAUUGUAAACUCCUGUUGUUGGGGAAAAAGAGGAUGGUACCCAACAAGGAAGUGACGGCUAACUACGUGUCAGCAGCCGCGGUAAUCUGAGGCGGGCUGGCAAGGC
RNAcentral lists this ribosomal RNA (199 nucleotides) under uncultured bacterium. RNAcentral describes it as "partial 16S ribosomal RNA". It matches the Rfam family "Bacterial small subunit ribosomal RNA", at positions 328 to 539 of the family's 1533-position model. The record is from RNAcentral.